Long non-coding RNA from Denticeps clupeoides (denticle herring), 1844 nucleotides. The record is from Ensembl. Lineage: Eukaryota; Metazoa; Chordata; Actinopteri; Clupeiformes; Denticipitidae.
AGUGGCAAAUUGUCCUGCUGGAUACCGGAGACAAACCAACCGCCAGCAGAGUCUCUGAAAAAUCCAAUUAGGUAUGACAAUGGGACUGGUCUUAACAUCCAGAUCUAGGAAUCAUCAGACGUCCUUUUCUGACACACACAGGCUGUUUACAUGUUGAAGAACAAGGCUCAGCUGAAAACUGCCCAGGAAACCACCCUCCCUCCCAACCUCCCUUCAACAGACUACGCAGGUUAUGGACUGGAUGGCACUGAGCCUGGAUCAGAGAGACAAGUCCAAAUCAACAUACAAAAUUUCAGAGCUACUGUGAUCCUGUCAGAUGUGGACAGUCAUGACAGGUCAGUGGUUGCCAAAACAAUUGUCUUAUGCAUGCUUCUGGAGUACUGAAUGCAGCAAAAUAUGAUUAUUUACAUCAGACCUUAUCUCUUGUUUUGGAUUUGCAACAAAAUGCUUGCAGCUCUGGACUGGCAUCUUGAGAAAAAAAGAUAUUAGGCCAGCUUUUCCUUUUCCACAGCCACUUUGGCACAAUAAGACCAACAAAUGGACCAACCUUUGUGGACCAACGAUUGGUUGUGUAGAUAUUUCUCUAGUGUUUAGGGCCUCAUUUGCCUAUAAGUGUAAGUUCUUCCCCCACCCACAUACCUUUCAGCUCCUACGCAUGAUCUGAGUUUCAGUGCCAUGUUCUUGGACAUCACAGGAUAAGAGCUAACUAAGCAUGUUACCUGUAUGCACAUUUUGUUCAUGUGAUUUUGUCAACUGGCAAUUUGUUUGUGAGUCCUGCUGGAAUUGUUGUAAUACCCAACUCUCAAAAAGAUGAGCAAAUGAAAAAAUAUAGAACUGCACUUCACAGAUGUUACAAAUUACUUAACAAUAAAAAGUGCGUAUCAGUCACAUAUUUGUGAAAAAAGGUCAUGACCUUUCUUUGCUGAAUCUUUGCUUACCUCCUUUUACUAACAGUCAUCACACAGCUUGAGUUGGGUUUGUCUGAAUCAUCAUAGUUGGUAUCCGUUGCCCUGUGGCCUGGCCUCGCUCUUGUUUGCAUCUGAGGCUCAGAGACCUCAGACUCACCUUUGAUGAGCAGUUCACUUGAAAGCAGCCACCUUACUUAAGAAAAACCUCAGAAGGACCUGGCAAGCAGUUCAUAGGUUCACUCUACCCACAUCCCUUGGGCUGGUAUGGGUAUCACAUUCGCCAUCUUGCCUGAAAUCAUUUAGACAAGUUUCAGACUUUAUCAGCGACAGCAUCUUUGCGAAGGACUUGAGGACCCAUCAAAAAUGCCACUGUCCAACUGUCAGUUCUUUGUUAUUCCUUCAAUUAAUCACUUGUCAAUUUUUUGUUCCUCAGUUUUACUAAGCUGACAAUGUUUACAAUGACCUUAAUAUGAUCUGACUGCAGAAUAUAGACACAUUGGUAAAAACACAUCCUAUUAGACCAUAUUUUAUGCAGAAUAUGUUUAUGUAGGAUAUGUCCCACACACAUAUAACAAAUGCAUUGUUGCACAAUUGUCUGUUUAUCUUGGUGAAUGCUUCACGUUCGGUACCCGUGCAGCUUUGCUGAUGUUUAGAAGCCGAGUUGGGUGGAAGGCGAUUGGACUACGGCCAAGCAGAGGUUAGCACCCAGGUGGCUCUCGGCUCCAGAUGUCUCCCUGUUUUUACUGCCAGAGACCGAGAGUUCACCAAGAUCCCCCGGGUAAUGCAGUCAGCUGUCAGAUUUUUUUUUGUGUGCUACGGUGAGGACUGCCCUGAGAUGGAAAGGCUGCUGGAUGAUUGGUUGUGCGAUCUAAGCGUUGUGAUUGGCAAUCUGACACAAACUGACAGACCCUCACUGACCUUGUGCAACAAUACUUU